RNAcentral lists this ribosomal RNA (584 nucleotides) under uncultured bacterium. RNAcentral's name for it is "partial 16S ribosomal RNA". It matches the Rfam family "Bacterial small subunit ribosomal RNA", at positions 355 to 937 of the family's 1533-position model. The record is from RNAcentral.
UGGGGAAUUUUGGACAAUGGGCGAAAGCCUGAUCCAGCAAUGCCGCGUGUGUGAAGAAGGCCUUCGGGUUGUAAAGCACUUUUGUCCGGAAAGAAAUCCUCUGGGUUAAUACCUCGGGGGGAUGACGGUACCGGAAGAAUAAGCACCGGCUAACUACGUGCCAGCAGCCGCGGUAAUACGUAGGGUGCAAGCGUUAAUCGGAAUUACUGGGCGUAAAGCGUGCGCAGGCGGUUUUGUAAGACGGAUGUGAAAUCCCCGGGCUUAACCUGGGAACUGCAUUCGUGACUGCAAGGCUAGAGUAUGGCAGAGGGGGGUAGAAUUCCACGUGUAGCAGUGAAAUGCGUAAGAUGUGGAGGAAUACCGAUGGCGAAGGCAGCCCCCUGGGCCAAUACUGACGCUNAUGCACGAAAGCGUGGGGAGCAAACAGGAUUAGAUACCCUGGUAGUCCACGCCCUAAACGAUGUCAACUAGUUGUUGGGGAUUCAUUUCCUUAGUAACGUAGCUAACGCGUGAAGUUACCGCCNGGGGAGUACGGUCGCAAAGAUUAAAAACUCAAAGGAAUUGACGGGGUCAUAGCUGUUUCC